Molecule: small RNA, 128 nt
Filed under: Marmota monax (woodchuck)
Lineage: Eukaryota; Metazoa; Chordata; Mammalia; Rodentia; Sciuridae
Source: RNAcentral
GCCAGGCACAGUGGUGCAUGCCUGUAAUCCCAGCAACUCGGGAGGCUGAGACAGGAAUAUCACAAGUUGGAGGCCAGCCUCAAGCAAUUUAGCAAGGCCCUAAGCAACUUAGUGAGACCCUGUCUCAA